RNAcentral lists this ribosomal RNA (248 nucleotides) under uncultured bacterium. RNAcentral's name for it is "partial small subunit ribosomal RNA". It matches the Rfam family "Bacterial small subunit ribosomal RNA", at positions 26 to 288 of the family's 1533-position model. The record is from RNAcentral.
AGGACGAACGCUGGCGGCGUGCUUAACACAUGCAAGUCGAACGAGGCGCUUGCGCCUAGUGGCGAACGGGUGAGUAACACGUGAGCAACCUGCCCUUGGCUCUGGGAUAGCCUCCGGAAACGGGGAUUAAUACCGGACAUGACCUUCUCCUGCAUGGGGGAGGGUGGAAAGUUUUUCGGCCAGGGAGGGGCUCGCGGCCUAUCAGCUUGUUGGGGGGUAACGGCCCACCAAGGCGACGACGGGUAGCC